Molecule: long non-coding RNA, 2534 nt
Organism: Callithrix jacchus (white-tufted-ear marmoset)
Lineage: Eukaryota; Metazoa; Chordata; Mammalia; Primates; Cebidae
Source: RefSeq, a predicted model, not a curated record
CGCCAGAUGGCAGGCGUGCGCCGUGCCCGCAGGUCUCAGCCCCUACAUGGGCGCGCGGGGCCGGGCCAGGGUAUAGUCCGGUAAGCCAUGACCGCUUCGCUCCCCCUGCCUCGGGGUUCGACCCACCGGGGAGGAAAGCCACAGGCACUGAGCGCCUCCUGAGAGCCAGCCCUGACGUGAACUCAUUUUAUCUGCAACGACCCGAAAGGUAGAAAAUAUGGAUUAUCUGAACUUCCAGCACCAAUUUGGAGUGUGAGAGUGGUGAGAAGAGACCUGACCAGGAGAGCAGCAGAAGGUUUAGAGCUGCCAAAGUACACUAGUGCCAGAGACAAGCACUCUAGAAAACAGGAGGAAGAGUCAGAAGAGAAAGGUAAAUCCCUAGGAAUGAGAUGGCUGGGUCACAUGAUGUUGUUUACUCUGUCACCCAGGCUGAAGUGCAGUGGCUUUAUCUUGGCUCACUGCAACUUCUGUCUCCCGGGUUCAAGCAAUUCUCCUGCUUCAGCCUCCUGAGUAGCUGAGAUUACAGGUGCCUGCCACAAUGUCUAGCGAAUUUUUGUAUUUUUAGUAGAAACAGGGUUUCAUCAUGUUGGCCAGGCUGGUCUUGAACUCAUAACCUCAAGCGAUCCACCUGCCUCAGCCUCCCUAAGUGCUGGGGUUACAAGUGUGAGCCACUGUGCCCAGCCUCUUUAGCUAUUCUUAGUUUAAUCUAUGACUAUAACUUAUAUAUAGCUUUUACACAUAUAUCUGCAUUAAAAAUGAGGUCUACUGAUUUUCACUUUAAGCAUUAUGUUUUGUCUCAAUAGAAUUUUACCAAAUUAAACUAGUUUAUCAUUAUUUAUAUGAAUACAAAAUUUUUUUUUCUUUCAAACAAAUUUAAAGAAAUGUUAUAUGGUUAUAGGCCAAACACCAUUAUAAUUUAAAGACCAUCUGUAGUAUAGUGAAAAAACUAAAGGACUUGCUUUGAAACAUAUCCUUGUAACUGAGCACCCCCAUUUUUCUGAGAGAGAAUGAGCUAUUUUUUUCUUUUCUCCAUUUCUCCCUCUUUUCCUCUUCCUACUUAGCCCUUUAGAAAUGCAAUUAUAACCUUUUACCUCCCCUUCACCAGACACUCCCUACAGAGUAAGUUCAUUUAACUACGUGCUUAGAAGCUCCAGAAUGGAGCUCUCACCAACCAGGAGGCUGCCUCGAGAGACAACAGUCAGUCUGAAACCCAAACUAUGCCCACUAGGAAACUUUCUCCUACCUGGAGAGUUUCUGCUACCUUUACAACCUAGUUCUGCCUACAAAGACACCAGUGGUCACCAGCUCAAAUGCCGGGUAGAUAGGAUACUGAAGCAAGUCAUGUGGAUCCCCUCCUCUUGCUUUCUCCCCUGCAUGCCAUUCAUGCCAAACCCCCUUUUAAAAGCACCUGCUUUCUGCUCCAAAAGUGAAGCAGUACCCUUAAGGCAGGAAGCCUGUACUUCUUCCUCUAAGCUAGCUUUGGAAUAAAAAGUCAUUUUCUUUAUGCUAUAUCUCUCUCAUUAGUUGGACUCUGCACCUGGCAAGCAACUAAACCUACAUUUUGGUUACAUCCUAUUUAAAAACAACAACAAAACAGGCAAGGUAUGCUGAGCUCUACAAUGGAGGGACUAAGCAAUUUAAAUCCAGUGGCAGGAUUUUACCUACAGUGAGACAGACUUUAGUGAUGGAUGAGACUCUCAAAAAAUGUGGCUAUAAUGGUUUCAGUCUAAAUGUAGUUCUUAGAAACAUAAUGGCCACAGUUUACUAUCGUUGUGAAAUUUUGAAUUUGUCAAAAGUUGUUUGAGUAAGUAACCUUAAAGAAUGAAAAGCUAUUUACAACGGGACAUAUUUUCUUGCCUCUAAAGCAAUACUCGGUUCUAAGUCACCAUUUCCUAGCCAGGCUCCUCCUGGCACAUGGAGAUCAUGCUGUGAAUUGCAGGAGAAAGGGUUUAGCAGUACACUUUGGAAUGUAACCCCUUACUAGCAAAGUAUCUGUACCAAACUGAUUUUCUUUACCCUUUAAAAAAAGAAUCUCUAGUUCCUGGCUCCAAACAGCCACCUAAAUUUCAAUCAAAUAUUGCAAUAAAAUCCAAACUAAGUGUAUUUCACUGAAGUAUAAAGUGUGAGGCAGAGAAUUAGAGACCAGAUUUGUUAGCUUAGGUCGAAUUUCAUGCUAGUUCCAUUAAUUAAAAAGCAAUUUUUCCUAAAUCUCUGUAAUGGCUUUGAUGCUCUCAAUUGUUCUUACUUACAUCCACCACCAUUCCAGGAGCUUCUAUCAUCAGGAUCAAAGGAAAAUGAAUGAUAGUAAAGUAAAGCAAGACUAGUGUCUUAAGCUAAAGUUUGAGCAUGGGUUUCUACAGCAAUGAUGUCUGACUGAAAUACAGAUGGUCCCAGACUUACGAUGGUUUGACUUAACAAUUUUUUGAGUUUAAGAUGAUGUGAAAGUGAUAUGCAUUCAGUACAGAGUAUACUUGGAGUUCCACACAAUAUUCUAUUUUCUACUUUUAGUAUAGUAUUCAAUAAAUUACAGGAGA